GGGUGCUCCUCCACUGGGGUGUGAUUUUGAUCUUUCGAGGAAGUAUUUUUUAUCGCUUAUGGUCGAUAGGUUUUGAAGCGGAGCUAAGCCGUCCGUCCAAAUUGUUCCACCGGAAUUUAGGAAAUAUAGCUCGUUGAAGAGAGUUACAGGGUACCAUUCUGGUAGCCUUUUGUCUUCAACGAUUGGCCUUUGCCAUGCUUCUAUCUGGG
RNAcentral lists this unclassified non-coding RNA (209 nucleotides) under Hevea brasiliensis (rubber tree). Lineage: Eukaryota; Viridiplantae; Streptophyta; Magnoliopsida; Malpighiales; Euphorbiaceae. The record is from RNAcentral.